RNAcentral lists this ribosomal RNA (492 nucleotides) under uncultured bacterium. RNAcentral describes it as "bacterial SSU rRNA". It matches the Rfam family "Bacterial small subunit ribosomal RNA", at positions 29 to 524 of the family's 1533-position model. The record is from RNAcentral.
AUUGAACGCUGGCGGCAUGCUUAACACGUGCAAGUCGAACGGGGGUAGCAAUACCCUAGUGGCGGACGGGUGAGUAACGCGUAGGAAUCUGCCUCGUAGUGGGGGACAACCUGGGGAAACCCAGGCUAAUACCGCAUACGCUCGCGAGAGGAAAGCGGGGGGACCUUCGGGCCUCGCGCUAUGAGAUGAGCCUACGUCCGAUUAGCUAGUUGGUGGGGUAAAGGCCUACCAAGGCGACGAUCGGUAGCUGGUCUGAGAGGAUGAUCAGCCACACUGGGACUGAGACACGGCCCAGACUCCUACGGGAGGCAGCAGUGGGGAAUAUUAGACAAUGGGCGAAAGCCUGAUCCAGCAAUGCCGCGUGGGUGAAGACGGCCUGCGGGUUGUAAAGCCCUUUAGGUGGGGAGGAAAGGCGGGACGUGAACAGCGUUUCGCACUGACGUUACCCACGGAAUAAGCACCGGCUAACUCCGUGCCAGCAGCCGCGGUAAU